GGCUGGUCUGAAGAUAGUGUGCUAAUUCAAUCAAUUGUUCACAGUUACAAAUCGAACUCCUUGUUCUACUCUUUCCCCUCUUCUCACUAAUACACUUGACUAGUCUUUU
This 109-nucleotide Y RNA is filed under the name Carlito syrichta (Philippine tarsier). RNAcentral describes it as "Y RNA (ENSTSYG00000036943.1)". It matches the Rfam family "Y RNA". From Rfam's summary of the family: Y RNAs are components of the Ro ribonucleoprotein particle (Ro RNP), in association with Ro60 and La proteins. The Y RNAs and Ro60 and La proteins are well conserved, but the function of the Ro RNP is not known. The record is from Rfam by way of RNAcentral. Lineage: Eukaryota; Metazoa; Chordata; Mammalia; Primates; Tarsiidae.